This 250-nucleotide ribosomal RNA is filed under the name uncultured prokaryote. Its description in RNAcentral is "partial 16S ribosomal RNA". It matches the Rfam family "Bacterial small subunit ribosomal RNA", at positions 524 to 773 of the family's 1533-position model. The record is from RNAcentral.
UACGAAGGGGGCUAGCGUUGCUCGGAAUUACUGGGCGUAAAGGGCGCGUAGGCGGACAGUUUAGUCAGAGGUGAAAGCCCAGGGCUCAACCUUGGAAUUGCCUUUGAUACUGGCUGUCUUGAGUUCGGAAGAGGUAAGUGGAAUGCCGAGUGUAGAGGUGAAAUUCGUAGAUAUUCGGCGGAACACCAGUGGCGAAGGCGACUUACUGGUCCGAUACUGACGCUGAGGCGUGAAAGCGUGGGGAGCAAAC